GACGAACCGUGCGAACGUUGUUCGGAAUCACUGGGCUUAAAGGGCGCGUAGGCGGCUUACCAAGUCAGGGGUGAAAGCUUUCGGCUCAACCGGAAAAGUGCCUUUGAUACUGGUAAGCUAGAGGGAGGUAGGGGCAGAUGGAACUUCCGGUGGAGCGGUGAAAUGUGUUGAUAUCGGAAGGAACGCCGGUGGCGAAAGCGAUCUGCUGGACCUCUUCUGACGAUGAGGCGCGAAAGUUAGGGUAGCGAACGGG
This 253-nucleotide ribosomal RNA is filed under the name uncultured bacterium. RNAcentral describes it as "partial 16S ribosomal RNA". It matches the Rfam family "Bacterial small subunit ribosomal RNA", at positions 524 to 776 of the family's 1533-position model. The record is from RNAcentral.